AGUUCCAAGUUCUAAUUCAGUGACCUAGUCCUGAAAGAUUUGUCAUAUAAAGUAUGAUAUGCCUCUUCCCUGCAGAAUGAAACUACAAUUUCUGAAAGAAGGAACGCUUGGCCUUUACGGCCAUGUUUGAAACUUGGUGGUAAUACCUGGAGAAGCCAGGCAUCCAGCCAUGGUCUGCACCAAUCGGCACAACUGGGAGGGCCUCUGGAUGACCCCUAACUUCCAACAGCACCAGUGCUUCUGAUCUCUUUCCCACUUCUUGAUUCCAGGACCCAUUAGAUCCUGAGUACCCAAAACUGGUGAGCAGAUCUACUCUCUCCUCCCUUACAUUAAAGACUCUUCUUCAGUUCCAGGAAGGUGAACUCACCAGGUUGUGACAUCAGAAAUCCUCGCUGUGAUUUACUGACAGCAGAGCAACAAGAACUGCUGCUUUCAGCCACAGGCUAUGGGUCUUGCCUGUGCUAGCCCAUUAGCCCGAGAGUGGACUUCUUACCUACGUGCACCGGUCAAGAGCACUCACCCUGAGAUCCAAGUCUGUACCAUAGCGUUUCAUCCUCAGCUUUUGCUUGCCCAGAAUUCAAGACCCCCACUCUGGGUCUAGGGAUGUCUGAUAGCCAAGGAUCCAGGGAGACAGAGAAGACCAAGGAAAACGUGCCUUGGCAGAACUUAACAGAGAAAGACAGUGACCUCUUCCAACCUUUAUGGAAUCAAUUGUGGUUGUGUUUAAUCAUUUUUGGUGUUUUUUGUCACAAAAUUAUCUCCAUUUUACUACAGCAUUAUCUUCAUAUUCACCAAAAUGGGCUACUUUCCUCAAUGCCAUUAGAGCAUUGCCUUUACCUUCAGUGACCCUCAAAUAUAUACAUUUUGCUUGGAUUCUUAGAGCCUCCAGUUUGAAUCCAUACCUGGUAGAUUUGUCACUAUAAACAAAGAACACUUGGAUGAUGUUAAUACCCUUUAGAAUUGCAAUGCCUUUGUGUACUACUCAACACCAAGAUAAGUGAAUUGGCCCUAUUCCUCUUUAUACUUUCAUAUAAAAUAUGAAUUCCAUGCGAGUAAUCACUUACAAAUAAAAUAGGGAAGCAUUACAUAAAAAACCUUCACCCCUUAUGAAUUCAACCAAUGUUUAUUGAGGAGCCACCAUGUGCCAAGUAUUGUAUUAAAUUCUGGGACCACAAUGAAUAAGUCAUAGUCCUUGGCCCUAAGAAGUUUACAUUUCAGUGGGGAAGUGAGAUAAUUCAGCAAGCUAAUGAGUAUUAGAGCAGUGUCAUGACAGCCAUGAGAAUCCCUUCUCUCUGUUCCUUGAUCACCCAGAGAUCCCAGGGUGGCUCACAGAUGAUCCCUUUAUAGGAUAAAGCAACCAGCAAGGUUAGAGCCAACAAGCAGCACUCCAUGGUGGAAACUUGCAUGGUGAUCCAGAAGAGGCUAGUUACUAACAUGUUACUUCUAGACCACCUGACUUUGAAACAAGUUAGAUGUUUACUUACUGAAUGGCUUCCCUGGUUUGUCAUCAAACCGGUAACCCAUGGUUGACUGUCAGGCUGUGAAGUCAGAGAACAUGCUUCAAAUCCAGGUCCUGGCACUGAUGACCGCGACUGUGGGCAAAUCACUUAACUCUCUGAUCUUUGGUGUUUGUCUUUGCAAAAUAAAAAUAAAAAUAUUCUAUACUGUACCUACCUCACAGAAUUAUUGUGAAAAUGUAAGUGAAAGCACUUUGUAAACUGUUGCUUUUUAAUCAUCGCUUCUUCAUGCUACCCACCAGAUACAAUACCAUGAUUUGCCCGGAAGACAUAUUCUUAGCCAACCCUCACCCUGGACUACUGAAUGAUAGGAAGAAAAUCAAGUUCACGCCCUCAUAGAUAUGUUUUCAGUAUGGGAAUUCUGAUCCCUCACAGAAUGGCAAAAAUAUAUUCCAGGUCCCACAGCUGGAGUUCUCCUGCCAUUUAGACAUUCCACCACAAACAUGCCACUAGACCAAAUACCAGCUAGUUUUCAUGAUAGAGUGUCCUGGGGCCGGUUGUGGAAAAUUCACUCUUGGCCUCAGAGAACUGAUCAGACUGUGGUGACUCAAAGAAUCAUCUGGACUCUAGAGGUCACCAGCCUCUCCCCUUGAAUCCCCGCUUUUCAAAAACAGAGUGUGAAGCUCAUUUAAAGGAGAUGAAUCCACCCUCUUCAAAAACAGAGCUAGAAGUUUAUUUACAGGAGAUGCUGAACCAAUUCAAGAAAACUCCCCCUGAUUUGUUAUAGUUGAAUUAGCAAAGGAGCUUCCUGGACACUCAUUUAAAGCAAAGAUUUGGUUACAUAGUUCUUCUUUUAUCAGUGUACCCCUAACACCAACUUGGUUCUCUUUACACUAAGUUUUAUUUAUCUAUUCCGCAUCUGUCCAACAGACUCAUGGCAAAAUGUGUUCCUGAUUUACAAACUUCACAUGUCCCCCUUACACAAAGACACACACACACACACACACACACACACACACACAGAAUAGAACAGUGAGUAACGUCACCCCUUCUUCCAAUCUACCCCCAUGGCCAAGCCCUUCCUGGCCUACCGUUGCUGAUAAUUCCAUACAUAUUCUGAAUUGGCUCUUCUAAUUGGGGGUAUGCCUCACUGCAGCAAUCUUAAUCUAUCCCAAGUUAAAAUCUUGAGUCCAUUUUGGUCCUGCCUGGACACUUACAUGGAGUGUCUAUGGAGUCAUUACUGAUGCCCAGCAAUCCUUUAAAUAAAGUGACAUCUUUCUACUUAAAACCUGCCAGUUUCUACAAAGUGAAAAAAUAUUAGGAUGUACCUCUAGGAAUAGUGAAAAAAGUUCUCCAAGUAAAUAGAAUUAUGAUUAUGUAUAAAAUAUCUAAUAUAAUUUGCAACCCAAAAGCUCUGGAGUAAGACCAGAAACCUAUAAUAGAAAAUUUCCACUAAAAUCUGCCUCAAGUUCAUCAGGCAGGAAAAGGACAUUAUAAGUAGAUUUUUCAUUCAAUGCUGGUAUCAGGUUUCAAAAUAUUUUUACAUAAUACUGAAAAUAAUUCACAAUGUCUCCUUGCUAAAUGUCAGAUAUGUAGUGAAUCAAGAAAUUCCCAGUUCUAAAAGUAUAAUAUUGCAUUUUAUUUUAAUAUUUGAAAUGAAGUGCAAAACAUUUUUAAGCAGUGUCUUCUUUUGUGGUUUAGAAUCCCCACUUGCUAUGGGAAGGGAGCCAGAGAAACUCAAGAGUACCAACCACCCAAGGUCAGGGGCAUGGAGCCAAAGGGUUCAG
This is a long non-coding RNA of Fukomys damarensis (Damara mole-rat), 3244 nucleotides long. RefSeq lists it as uncharacterized. NCBI's taxonomy places the organism in Eukaryota, Metazoa, Chordata, Mammalia, Rodentia, Bathyergidae. The record is from RefSeq and is a predicted model, not a curated record. The transcript is spliced from 2 exons.